Molecule: long non-coding RNA, 1444 nt
Organism: Neofelis nebulosa (Clouded leopard)
Lineage: Eukaryota; Metazoa; Chordata; Mammalia; Carnivora; Felidae
Exons: 4
Source: RefSeq, a predicted model, not a curated record
UACACGUAGAGGUAGACGCAGCCGCAGCUGCGCUGAGAGGCAGGGUCUUGUCUCGGCCUCCAGCCGCCCGAGCUCUGACCUGGUCUGGUGAGCUGAUGUGAGCAGUCACACUGACAAGGAUGAAAGAAGAAUGCAUCCUCAGAGCGCUCUGAGAUGCUGUGUAAGAAGUCCAACUACCCUGAAAGGGCAUAGAUGUUCUGUUGUUGAUUUCAGUGGUGCCUACCUUUUCUAUCUACCUUGCAUACUAAUAUCUGAGUGAAGCCAUUUGGGCUAGUAUAAAAGACCGAUAUCAAUGAGUGACCCUAACUGAUGUCAUUUGGAGCAUAAGAAUCUCCCAGCUGAGUUCUGCCCAAAUUCCUGAACCACAAAAUUGUCAGGUUAAUCUUUUUCUCCUUCGGAGAAUAUGCAUUGUUAAAGGCAUUAAGAAGAUUAACAAAUUUUCUGGCACUGGAAGGAAGCCAGAGGAUGACAAGGAUUUGACCGAUAUAGCCACUGAGGUUUCAAAAGAUUGAACAACUUAUCUAAACUAGGGAGUGGUUGAACUGAGCUUGAAUCCUUAUUGGCUCAAUAGUUUCUUUGAUUUUUCUUUUCCUAACCUGGGAGUACAGUUUUAAGGAAGAAAAUAAGAAUUACUACUUAAGCAGAGACUAAAGAUCUAAUUUUAUAUCAGUAAUAACAGUAGAAACUUUUGAAAAAUAAUUUUCUACUUAUAAAUCAAACAUUUAACUGCAAAAUUAAGAAGCAGGAAACAAACUCAUCAAUAUUAAAUAUAUUUGAAAUUUCUCGAGGAAGACAAAAGGUAAUAUUUCUCUUCUAUACCAGUGUUUUUCAAAUUUCAGUUCCUCUUUUGAUGAACAUAAACAUGUCCACUCCACAACAACUCUGACAUAGUCCCCCUGUCUGCUUGUGAGUCAUGACAUCUUCUGUACGUUUCCAACAAUCAAAAGGAUAUUGUCAACUUCUGUGGCUUACAGUCUUGUAGUUUGUAUCAUGGAAACACACUUUUUUUCCAACUGUAAAAUUCCACUAUAAUUAUUAGAUAUGUUUUUUUUUUCAAACUACUUAAUAGAGAAUCCUUUCCCACUCAGGGCUGAGAUAUAUUUUUCUGUAUGAUUCAACCAUGUAUGGUGUGGAGGUUCUGUGCUUGGCUCAAAUGUAAAUAUUUUGAGGGUUGAGAGUGUUUGAUCUCAGGAAAAUAUAAUUUACUGCUUCUGGAGUAAAAACAAAAUUAAUAAAUGAUACAGCACACAAACCCAUCUUGGCCUUGCACUGCUUAGCAGUGUUUUAGUGAAUUACAUUUGAAUGAAUGAGAAACAUAUGGAUGCAAUGUCCCUUGUGGCUACUCCUGGAUUCAGAGAUGGAAGGGGGAAUAUGCUUAACCAAAUGCACCAUAUUUUUCUGAACACCAUAACAUAUUUGGACCUAUUCUCUGGAGCCAGUGGGA